CUACGGGGGGCUGCAGUGGGGAAUAUUGCACAAUGGAGGAAACUCUGAUGCAGCAACGCCGCGUGGAGGAUGACACUUUUCGGAGCGUAAACUCCUUUUAUAUAGGAAGAUAAUGACGGUACUAUAUGAAUAAGCACCGGCUAACUCCGUGCCAGCAGCCGCGGUAAUACGGAGGGUGCAAGCGUUACUCGGAAUCACUGGGCGUAAAGAGCGUGUAGGCGGGUUAAUAAGUCAGAAGUGAAAUCCUAUGGCUCAACCAUAGAACUGCUUUUGAAACUGUUAACCUAGAAUAUGGGAGAGGUAGGUGGAAUUUCUGGUGUAGGGGUAAAAUCCGUAGAGAUCAGAAGGAAUACCGAUUGCGAAGGCGAUCUACUGGAACAUUAUUGACGCUGAGACGCGAAAGCGUGGGGAGCAAACAGGAUUAGAUACCCUUGUAGUC
RNAcentral lists this ribosomal RNA (439 nucleotides) under uncultured bacterium. Its description in RNAcentral is "partial 16S ribosomal RNA". It matches the Rfam family "Bacterial small subunit ribosomal RNA", at positions 339 to 795 of the family's 1533-position model. The record is from RNAcentral.